AUAAGUGCAAGGCUGUGCGCGUGGAUUAAGAAAAACAAUGAAUAACGAAAACCAUUGGCGCGCGCAACCAUUGUUUUGUGUCAUUUCCUCUAGAAAAGUCAAUACUUCCUUCCUUUCUCCUUCUCAAUUUUCAUCCUCCAUCUCCCACAGUUUCCCCAAACAACAAUAAUAAAUAAAAAUGGCUAACACAUUUCACACCACUCAUACAAUCUCUAACCAAUGGCCAGGUUUCACCCAAAACACACAUUCUCCACCAAAAUCAUCACCAUCAUCUUCCUCUCUCUAUCGACAUUCAUUGCCAUUGCUUUCAUAGGUAACCACAUCUUCCACUCUUCCGCUCACCUAUCUGUCACUUCCAAUUGGCUCGAUAUCCCUUACAACACCACCAUAACACCGCCACCUCAUAAACAACACGUUGUCAAGAACAAAACUCCCCAGAGAUUUCUUUCUGCUACAUUUGCGGAUUUACCCGCUCCUCAAUGGAAUUGGGAGCAAAUGGAUUCGGCUCCUGUCCCUCGUUUAGAUGGUUACGCUAUUCAGAUCCAAAAUCUAUUUUAUGUCUUUUCAGGAUACGCCAAUCUUGAUCAUGUGCACUCUCAUGUUGAUGUGUUUGAUUUCAGGAGCAAUGAGUGGGUAGAUAAGUUUGAUACACCAAAAGAAAUGGCUCAUUCACACUUGGGAGUUGCAACUGAUAGGAGGUACAUAUAUAUAGUCUCUGGACAGUAUGGUCCACAGUGUAGAGGACCUAUUUCCACUGUCUUUGUCUUAGAUACCAAAACAAAGAAAUGGGAUCAUUUGCCUCCAUUGCCUUUCCCCAGGUAUGCUCCUGCAACUCAAUUGUGGAGGGGAAGACUCCAUGUCAUGGGUGGUGGCAAGGAGAAUCGUCAUACACCUGCCUUAGAUCAUUGGAGUCUGGCUGUAAAGGAUGGGAAGGCUUUGGAGAAACAAUGGCGGACUGAAAUUCCUAUUCCGCGUGGUGGACCACAUAGGGCUUGCAUUGUGGUUAAUGAUCACCUUUAUGUUAUCGGUGGACAAGAGGGUGAUUUCAUGCCUAAACCAGGCUCACCAAUAUUCAAGUGUUCACGCAGACAUGAGGUGGUCUAUGGAGAUGUUUAUAUGCUGGAUGAUGAAAUGAAAUGGAAAGUUUUGCCACCUAUGCCAAAGCCAAACUCCCAUAUAGAGUGUGCAUGGGUAAUUGUCAACAAUUCAAUUAUUAUUACUGGAGGUACAACAGAAAAGCACCCAGUUACAAAAAGAAUGAUGCUGGUUGGAGAGGUCUUCCAAUUUAACUUAGACUCUAUGAAAUGGUCAGUGAUCGGAAAACUUCCAUACCGAGUUAAAACAACAUUAGCUGGAUUUUGGGAUGGAUGGCUAUACUUUACAUCAGGACAGAGGGACAGAGGACCGGAUAAUCCACAACCCAGAAAGGUUGUUGGAGAAACGUGGAGAACGAAAUUAUGUUUGUCAUAGUUUGUAAUCAUCAAGCUGCUUACUCUUCUCAUGAUCCUGGAUUGCAGUUUUGAACAGCACCGACCAAAAAUAUUGGUUGUCCAUCUCCAUAUUCUCCAUACUUGUGUUAAUGUUAAAACUGUGUGGCUUGUCAAAGUUUCUACAUUCUUCACUAACCAACAAAUCAUGUAACAUGACAACCCAAGAAUAGCAAUAGUAGAACAGAUCGAAAACAGACCAAGGUAAGGCAGAAGGCCUAUCGAUGUAUUAUUUUUUCCCUUGCUCUUUAAAUCAGAACAGUUAGCUUUGCGUCCAUUUUCUAUCCCAUCCAACAUUUCUUUUUCUAGCUGUUCCGUUUCUCCACUCUCUAUCAUACUAAGCAAUGCCUCUGAUAUGUCGGAAGCUAGACUUGAACCUUUUGGAAAUACCUAUGGUUUGAAACCAUGCAAUGUAGCACAAAAGUUGGAUCAGUUUUUGAAAAAUUAAGAAAAGCAUGCGUAGCUAAGGUUUUAAAUUGCAGGUAAAGUACCAGUUCUUUAUAUUGUAGAAAAAUGUGGUCAGCGAAUGUGAUCGCAGUUAUGGUCAUCAACCAUUUUUUAAAAGUGUAAUGUCAUGUAACUUAGUGAGUGUUUAAAUGUUAGAUUUAGUUUACGGAAACAUCUGUUGGGUCUAAAAUUUUAAUCUAAUUACCCCAAUUUCACUUCUACCAAACAUGUCAAAAAUUCAGUGACAGUGAGAGGAGAGAAACCCACAAAACCAAAGCCACCAAGCCUGUAAGUGUUCCCUGCUUUGAUAAAGCCCUUACACGAGUACUUUGCUAGGAAGACUUUAGCAUGAGGCGCGACGAAGAAGGCAGCUUCUAUUUCCUUGUUAUCAAAGGCAGCAGGGUAGUCACUCAUGGAAUUUAUUUUCCUUAUGUUCUCAGGCUUGAAUUUUAGUACUACAGUCAAAUACUUGACAAUAAAGGAAUUUCCAUCACAACCAAUUGGGGAAUUUCUUUCUUUAAGGGUCUGUAUAUCUAACACAGAUGGCUUUACUUGUGAAAUAGUUAUAGAUGUCAAACUUGCUGUGAAACUAUUUGUCACAAUGAAAAUAGCAAAUAACCAGGGUGUCAGUACAACUUGAGCUAAGGGUCUUCUUAUUGGUUCUCCUGCAUAUUGAAAAUGUACAAUGAAUUAGGAUUAUGCUUUUCAAAGCUAUGAGUUAAGCCUAACUCAACCAUACAAGAUUGUCUUGUUACAGGACUUACUGUGUGCAUAAAAUAGUACAGUGACUAAAAACCAUAGCAUGGACCCAAAUCCCCUUAGAUCUUCAUUUACUUCCCUUUCAAUCAACCAAAUAACAAAUCCAACAAAAACAUGCAUAGCUGUCAUCAUCAACCACAUCUCUUUUGUAAAGGCAGCCAAAAACAUCCAUGUUUCUUUUGAUUUUGCUGGUUGUUCAGUAACCACCAUGUGUAGGCCAGAUUCAAUAUAAGGUUGUGAGAAUUCCACUAAAUGAUAUCUAUAUGCCACUAUUGAUGUAUCACCAACCGCAGCAUCCAAUGUCUGCAUCAGAAACAAAAUGUUAGAUUUGUGUUAAGCAGAAGCAACGAUAAACUAGUUAGCAGUUACCAUACCUUAUUGUAGACAUGAUCAACCAUUUCAUCAUAUGACCCAUUGAAGGGAAAAAACGUGUAAUUUAAAAUAUAAGGUAAACGUUUGACAGCUGCUUCAAAGAUACUGAUUGAGAAACCAGUGACUGUAGGUUCGUUGUUUCCCUGAUCAUAUUCAACAUUCACAAACUGAGUAAAAGCACCGUUUGAAGGUAUUGCUAUUUUCAAUGUCCUUUCCUCAUUAUUGUGACCCUUGGGAACUGAUUGCGAUUCUCCCGGCCAAUAAACUGUUUUGAAAACUCCAUUUGAAUCAUCAUUAUUUGUGCUUAUCUCCAUUACCUUAUUAUGGCUAACAAUGUUCUUGGAAAACCCAAGUGCUGGAGACCAAAAUGCCAUUUCUCUAUAACUUUUCCCAAUCACAUUAAUUAUGUUGAAAGUUGGUGAUUGCAACAAUUGUCCAUUCUUUGAGAAAGUCUUUCCACUCAGUCUUUCAAAUUUUCCCUGUGAUGAUUUAUUUGCAGCCUUAGCAAUAGCCUUAGUUGCAUCAUAUGUUUGGAGUGCAAAGAUACUUGGGUUUAUGUUAUCUUCUUCAGGGUAUUCCAAAGCAAACUUUCUUUGGAAUUUGAACUUAAACUGUCUAAAAGCCCCACUCUUUUCAAUGAAGUGUGUUUUAAAUCCAACAACACCUUGCAUGUUGAAGAUAACAGAAGAAUUAACUGAAUCAAGAAGGCCAGCAACUUCAUUUGGGAUAAUCCACACAGAACCUUUUUCCAUCAAACCUAUUUGUUUUGCUUUCUCACAAAGCAUGCUAGCUAGCUCUAAAGAAGAAUGAACAAUCAGUUUGCAGGAAUAUAAUCAUUAAGAACAAAUGAAGAGAUGUUUGAGGAAUAUGCAUCUGAAGAUCAGACUCUGGCUCUGAAGUCCACUUCUGAAGACCCUGCCUUUGAUGAAGAUCCAGACCAUGAAGAAGUCAACUCUAAAGAAAGUCAGCCUUUGGUGACCCAGACUUUGAAGUUUCAGAAGCUAAGAAGUGGAUUAUGAUGUGCACUAAUGGAAUCAAGAGACAUAUGCAUGCUUAGUCUUCAGACUCCCUUUCCAAGGAUUGACUAUUAUGUCUCAUUGGCCAAGAAGAAGGUUGGAAUAUCUCGUGAGUUGCAAGCUUCUUCCAACCACUCAAGUCAUUUAUUGUCAUCACAUUUUCUCUUAUUUGCAUGAUUUUUUAAAUUGAUGGCAAGGGGAAAGCAAAAGCCUGACUAUUGAUUAUUCUUACUUAGAUCUGAUUGUUUUUCAUAUAUUAUUUUUCUCCAAUAUCUUAUCUUUUCUUAUUUUUUUGUUAAUGACAAAAGAGGGAGAGAAGAGUAUUUAAGCAUAUGAAUUUGACGAUUAUUUUUACUA
This is an RNA transcript of Lathyrus oleraceus (garden pea), 4438 nucleotides long. It is a transcript of the gene named kelch repeat-containing protein At3g27220, with no coding region annotated. NCBI's taxonomy places the organism in Eukaryota, Viridiplantae, Streptophyta, Magnoliopsida, Fabales, Fabaceae. The transcript is spliced from 8 exons. The record is from RefSeq and is a predicted model, not a curated record.